CUUAGCAGAGAUGCUUUGGUGCCUUCGGGAACUCUGAGACAGGUGCUGCAUGGCUGUCGUCAGCUCGUGUUGUGAAAUGUUGGGUUAAGUCCCGCAACGAGCGCAACCCUUAUCCUUUGUUGCCAGCGGUCCGGCCGGGAACUCAAAGGAGACUGCCAGUGAUAAACUGGAGGAAGGUGGGGAUGACGUCAAGUCAUCAUGGCCCUUACGAGUAGGGCUACACACGUGCUACAAUGGCGCAUACAAAGAGAAGCGACCUCGCGAGAGCAAGCGGACCUCAUAAAGUGCGUCGUAGUCCGGAUUGGAGUCUGCAACUCGACUCCAUGAAGUCGGAAUCGCUAGUAAUCGUAGAUCAGAAUGCUACGGUGAAUACGUUCCCGGGUCUUGUACACACCG
RNAcentral lists this ribosomal RNA (396 nucleotides) under Enterobacter sp. BV23.1. Its description in RNAcentral is "bacterial SSU rRNA". It matches the Rfam family "Bacterial small subunit ribosomal RNA", at positions 996 to 1392 of the family's 1533-position model. Lineage: Bacteria; Pseudomonadati; Pseudomonadota; Gammaproteobacteria; Enterobacterales; Enterobacteriaceae. The record is from RNAcentral.